Molecule: ribosomal RNA, 446 nt
Filed under: Naja atra (Chinese cobra)
Lineage: Eukaryota; Metazoa; Chordata; Lepidosauria; Squamata; Elapidae
Description: partial 16S ribosomal RNA
Rfam family: Bacterial large subunit ribosomal RNA
Source: RNAcentral
CAAAGGUAGGGUAAUCACUUGUUUAUUAAUUGUAGACCUGUAUGAAAGGCAAAACGAGGGCCUAUCUGUCUCUUGUAGUAAAUCAAUUAAACUGAUCUCCCAGUCCAAAAGCUGGGAUGCCAACAUAAGACCAGAAGACCCUGUGAAGCUUAAACUAAACUAUUAAAUCCUAUAAUAGCUCCUUUCGGUUGGGGCGACCCUGGAAAAAAAAAGAACUUCCAAACAUACUGACCUUACAGUCACCUACCCUAGGCCAACAAGCCUAACAACGACCCAGCACAGCUGAUAAUUGAACCAAGUUACUCCAGGGAUAACAGCGCUAUCUUCUUCAAGAGCCCAUAUCAAAAAGAAGGUUUACGACCUCGAUGUUGGAUCAGGACAUCCUAAUGGUGCAGCCGCUAUUAAGGGUUCGUUUGUUCAACGAUUAACAGCCCUACGUGAUCUGA